UUCUGUUAAGAAAUGGAAAACUCUCGCUCUGAAAUCCUUUGCGCACAUUUGCGCCUGUGAAUUAUCUCGUACCUACAGAGCUUAAGUGGCAUAUCUAAUCGUCUUGCAGUAUUUUAGGGCCAUUAAAAGAACCAUUCCGACCGCAUUCAAAAGGUCUUACAGUACGUAAGUCGAAUUGGGCUUCCCAGCGAGUUCCCCCUUCGCAGCAUUCUGGACAAUUAAAUUAAUAAGCAGCUAGCACCAAUGCAUACACAAGAAUACUUACUAAUGGCCUAAGAUACAAAUAAAGCAAAUAAAGCCAAGUACCUCUGGUAAUUUACUCAAAAGGACAAAAGGAAACAGAAGCUGUGUGCCCGUAAUUUGUUUUGCUUAAGUUGAACAUUAAAAACGCGAAUAAGUUGACCCUUUGUUAAUUUAGUAUAAAAAAAUUGUAUGUUACAAAUUGUAACUUACUACAACUUUUUACUGCCCAUGCAAACGUUACUUCAAGUCACAUCGAGGCUUUUCAGGAAAUGGUUAUGGAUUGGCAACUCCUAAAAAAAUGGGAGUCCAAGCAUAUUCCGAAAUAAAGUCUUAGCGGAAAGAAACAAUUAAAAGCUUUAAAUUAGCCACAUACACGUAUGCACAUAUACAUUUAUACAAUAUGCCAAAGAAUAAAAACGAAACAUGAAAAUGAACUGCAAAUGAGCAUACGUGUGUAUGUGUAUACAUACAUACAUAUGUAUGUAUACAUGCACAUGGAUGUCGUUUUGCAAUUCUUUGCUUUCGGUAUGGAUUUACUUAUGUGUGUGGAACAAACAUGAGAUCUCUCGGGAAAAAAAUUUAAUAUUUGAAAUAAAUUUGAUAAGCUUGC
Molecule: long non-coding RNA, 853 nt
Organism: Anastrepha obliqua
Lineage: Eukaryota; Metazoa; Arthropoda; Insecta; Diptera; Tephritidae
Exons: 3
Source: RefSeq, a predicted model, not a curated record